This is a long non-coding RNA of Rosa chinensis, 722 nucleotides long. RefSeq lists it as uncharacterized. The record is from RefSeq and is a predicted model, not a curated record. The transcript is spliced from 3 exons. NCBI's taxonomy places the organism in Eukaryota, Viridiplantae, Streptophyta, Magnoliopsida, Rosales, Rosaceae.
AGUUCUUCCUUCUUCCUUCUUACUUCUUCCUUCUUGGUCCAUAGUUAAUCUUUGGCUCUCAGAUUAUUUGCUUCUUCUUUUUUUCUUCUUUUGUUGUCAUUUUUCUUCUUUCUCUAUCUUUUACUUCCUCAUCUCUCCUCCAGUCACUCUCACCCUCAAAAACCAGAUCGAAAAACAUACCAAACACCAAACAACCAAAUCUGCAUCGUACCUUCGCCAUCCAUCUUCGCAAUCCGUUUCGUCAUCCUUCUCUCUUAAACUUUCCCAUCAUUACAACUCAUGCAAGCAAGUUAAUGCUGUUGAAAUCAAAUUCACACCAUCCAGAAUAUUACAUACUAGCAAGUAACAGAAGCUGCAGUUUGUCUCUUUCCUCAUCAAAAGUGAAGUUGAAGGCAUAUGCUGAUCGAGCUUCAUGAGCAAGAAGCAGUCGAAUAGACGUUCCAUAAUUAAAAGCAACUUCUUCAAAUGCAAGCAACUAAUGCAACAGUGACCUCACUCUUUUAGGCCGAAAUAGGAUUCCUCUGAUCACUAUUAGAGGCAAGAAAUCUGCAAGGAUAAAUAUACCUCCUCUGUGCUCCAUAGCUCAGCUUCUUCUUUUGGUAAAUAUUGAUGUAUUCUUUUUAAUUAUAAGUCAUCCUCGCUUGCAGAGAGAACAGUUGUAGUUUUAUUUUUCUACUAUAAAAUACCAGUUUUUGUAAUAUGUAAAAUCAAAACAGUUUCAA